This is a small nucleolar RNA of Bos indicus x Bos taurus (hybrid cattle), 133 nucleotides long. The record is from Ensembl. Lineage: Eukaryota; Metazoa; Chordata; Mammalia; Artiodactyla; Bovidae.
GUCCUCCUAGAACACGUGCUGGGUCUGGUCUGUGGCCUGGGAACCUGUCAGGGAAGGGCAGAGCAGUUGUCCAUCACUGUGGGUGAGAUGGCAGCAGGGCAUGCUGUCUGUCUCAAUCAGUUGUGGGACAGAC